This 1234-nucleotide ribosomal RNA is filed under the name metagenome. RNAcentral describes it as "bacterial LSU rRNA". It matches the Rfam family "Bacterial large subunit ribosomal RNA", at positions 1564 to 2808 of the family's 2925-position model. The record is from RNAcentral.
UGAAUACGAGACGCUAAGGCGUCGAAGUAGUGUAUGUCAUACUUCCAAGAAAAGCUUGCACUGUCAUAGAUAAAAAACGCCUGUACCAUAACCGACACAGGUGGGUAGGUAGAGUAUACUAAGGGGCGCGAGAUAACUCUCUCUAAGGAACUCGGCAAAAUAACUCCGUAACUUCGGGAGAAGGAGUGCCUUAUUAUUAAGGCUGCAAUAACAAGAUCCAAGCAACUGUUUAUCAAAAACACAGGUCUCCGCUAAGUCGUAAGACGAUGUAUGGGGGCUGACGCCUGCCCAGUGCCAGAAGGUUAAAGAAGUUGGUUAGCAUUUGCGAAGCUGAUAACUGAAGCCCUGGUGAACGGCGGCCGUAACGAUAACGGUCCUAAGGUAGCGAAAUUCCUUGUCGGGUAAGUUCCGACCCGCACGAAAGGCGCAAUGAUUUGGAUACUGUCUCGGAGAGGGGCUCGGUGAAAUAGACUUGUCUGUGAAGAUGCGGACUACCUGCACCAGGACAGAAAGACCCUAUGAAGCUUUACUGUAACUUGAAAUUGAAAUUGGACUUUAUUCGCGCAGCAUAGGUGGGAGGCGUUGAUUAUAAUCUUGUGGGAUUAUUGGAGCCAUCAGUGAGAUACCACUCUUGUAAUGUUAGAUUUCUAACUUUGAAUCAUUAUCUGGUCAAAGAACAGUUUCAGGCGGGCAGUUUGACUGGGGCGGUCGCCUCCUAAACGGUAACGGAGGCGUACAAAGGUUUCCUCUGAACGGUUAGAAAUCGUAUCUAGAGUGUAAAGGCAUAAGGAAGCUUGACUGUGAGACCUACAAGUCGAGCAGGGACGAAAGUCGGUCUUAGUGAUCUGACGGUACUGAGUGGAAAGGCCGUCACUCAACGGAUAAAAGUUACUCUAGGAUAACAGGCUGAUCUCCCCCAAGAGUUCACAUCGACGGGGAGGUUUGGCACCUUGAUGUCGGCUCAUCGCAUCCUGGGGCGGUAGUACGUCCCAAGGGUUGGGCUGUUCGCCCAUGAAAGCGGUACGCGAGCUGGGUUCAGAACGUCGUGAGACAGUUCGGUCCAUAUCCGGUGUAGGCGUUAGAAUAUUGAGAGGAGCCUUCUUUAGUACGAGAGGACCGAGAAGGACAUACCUCUGGUGUACCAGUUAUCGUGCCAACGGUAAACGCUGGGUAGCUAUGUAUGGAGUGGAUAACCGCUGAAAGCAUCUAAGUGGGAAGCCCACCUCAAGAUAAG